This 497-nucleotide ribosomal RNA is filed under the name uncultured bacterium. RNAcentral's name for it is "partial 16S ribosomal RNA". It matches the Rfam family "Bacterial small subunit ribosomal RNA", at positions 28 to 507 of the family's 1533-position model. The record is from RNAcentral.
GAUGAACGCUGGCGGCGUGCCUAAUACAUGCAAGUCGAGCGAACAGACGAGGAGCUUGCUCCUCUGACGUUAGCGGCGGACGGGUGAGUAACACGUGGAUAACCUACCUAUAAGACUGGGAUAACUUCGGGAAACCGGAGCUAAUACCGGAUAAUAUAUUGAACCGCAUGGUUCAAUAGUGAAAGACGGUUUUGCUGUCACUUAUAGAUGGAUCCGCGCCGCAUUAGCUAGUUGGUAAGGUAACGGCUUACCAAGGCGACGAUGCGUAGCCGACCUGAGAGGGUGAUACGCCACACUGGAACUGAGACACGGUCCAGACUCCUACGGGAGGCAGCAGUAGGGAAUCUUCCGCAAUGGGCGAAAGCCUGACGGAGCAACGCCGCGUGAGUGAUGAAGGUCUUCGGAUCGUAAAACUCUGUUAUUAGGGAAGAACAAAUGUGUAAGUAACUAUGCACGUCUUGACGGUACCUAAUCAGAAAGCCACGGCUAACUACGUG